CAGAGAUAAUUUCUGGACUUUUUCCUUUUUUAUUUAUUUCCAAAAAUUCUAUUUUCUGUAAAAUAUAUCUUUGCAUAUCUUCUAAGUUUUCUAUUCUUUUUCUUAAUAUUUUUAUUUCUGAUAAUUCAAUUUGAACUAAAUCAUUCUGAUUUUCUUCUUCAGAUUCUAUUAAUUCUUUUUGUAUUAAGCAUUGUUUACAUGCUUCUAAAAAACAAUCUUUACAUUUAACUCUUAAUUUUUUACUAGGAUACCAUUUACAUAAAAAACAUGGUAUGCUAUCUGAACCUGUUUCUUUUACCCAUUUAUGUUUACAUUCUAAUUCUAUAUCCAUAAAUUCUAAUUCUUCAUCUGAAUCUGAUAAAUUUUUUAUAUUUGAAAAUUCUUGUAUAAAAUUUUCAUAAUCUGAUUGUUCUUCUAUAUUACAAUUAUUAUUAUAAUCUUCUAUUGAAAUAAUACUAUAAACUGAUUCUUUAUCUGAAAUAUAUUCAUCAAUUUCUAAUAAAUCUUCAUU
This 511-nucleotide long non-coding RNA is filed under the name Olea europaea subsp. europaea. The record is from RNAcentral. Lineage: Eukaryota; Viridiplantae; Streptophyta; Magnoliopsida; Lamiales; Oleaceae.